CAAUAGCGUAUAUUAAAGUUGUUGCAGUUAAAAAGCUCGUAGUUGGACCUUGGACCUGGACAGGCGGUCCGCCUCACGGCGAGUACUGUCUUGCUGGGUCUUUCCUCUUGGUGAUCUGUUGUUUCGGCAGCAGGGAACCAGGACCUUUACUUUGAAAAAAUUAGAGUGUUCAAAGCAGGCUCGACGCCGGAAUAUAUUAGCAUGGAAUAAUAAAAUAGGACGUGCGGUUCUAUUUUGUUGGUUUUUGGAGUCGCCGUAAUGAUUAAUAGGGACAGUCGGGGGCAUUAGUACUCACAUGCUAGAGGUGAAAUUCUUGGAUUUUGUGAAGACUAACUUCUGCGAAAGCAUUUGCCAAGGAUGUUUUCAUUAA
This 370-nucleotide ribosomal RNA is filed under the name uncultured eukaryote. RNAcentral describes it as "partial 18S ribosomal RNA". It matches the Rfam family "Eukaryotic small subunit ribosomal RNA", at positions 592 to 976 of the family's 1831-position model. The record is from RNAcentral.